Ctenocephalides felis (cat flea) is the source of this 249-nucleotide long non-coding RNA. RefSeq lists it as uncharacterized. NCBI's taxonomy places the organism in Eukaryota, Metazoa, Arthropoda, Insecta, Siphonaptera, Pulicidae. The record is from RefSeq and is a predicted model, not a curated record. The transcript is spliced from 3 exons.
UGAACUUCUCAGAUGGCUUUGGGAAAUUAUACAAAAAGAUGUUUAUGCAAGUGAAAAUAAUCCAGUUCUACUAACUUGCUACGACGGAGCAACUGCAUGUGGUCUUUUUGCUGCAAUGGCAUUCGUCAUAGAAAAAAUGAAGUUGGAACAGGAAUGUGAUGUUCCUUUAGCAAUUAGAACUAUUCGAAAACAUCGAAAGGAAUUUAUAAAUCACGAGGAACAAUAUACCUACUUAUUCGAAGCUGCUUU